This is a non-coding RNA of Paragonimus skrjabini miyazakii, 81 nucleotides long. NCBI's taxonomy places the organism in Eukaryota, Metazoa, Platyhelminthes, Trematoda, Plagiorchiida, Troglotrematidae. The record is from the annotation of a GenBank genome assembly.
GGCUUCGUAGCUCAUAUGACAGAGCGCUUGCUGCGUUUAGGCUGGUUGCUUCUGGUGCUGGUUCGAAUCCAGUCGAAGCUC